AACCUUAUGGACCUGCGGGCGUAUACCUGCGGAGGGAUCAUUAACUAUUUGGGGAGAUUCAGUGCUUGAUGCUGGAUGUGGGCGUGUUUUCUCGGGAAUGAUAACCCGCACUAGCCGGUGAAAGCAGGCUGUAGUGUUGCUCUCUUCAGGGAGAGCCCCGCGGCGCUUGUCGUGAUGAGGGUUAGAAGCCUGGGGGGCUCGGUCUGCAUUUGGUGCUUGGUGCUGCGUCUUCUCCAUCUA
RNAcentral lists this unclassified non-coding RNA (240 nucleotides) under soil metagenome. RNAcentral's name for it is "partial contains 5.8S ribosomal RNA, internal transcribed spacer 2, and large subunit ribosomal RNA". The record is from RNAcentral.